GAGAACAAGAAGAAGCACCCGCUUCUCGCCUAAGUUAAGUAAACCUCUAGGCUGAUCGAUAAUUUCUGUUGAUUAAAGGCGGGGUGAUACUUAUCCCGCCUUUUUCUUGUCCU
This is a regulatory RNA element of Lactobacillus acidophilus NCFM, 113 nucleotides long. It matches the Rfam family "Ribosomal protein L20 leader". Rfam says of the family: This family is a putative r-protein leader autoregulatory structure found in B. subtilis and other low-GC Gram-positive bacteria. It is located in the 5' untranslated regions of mRNAs encoding initiation factor 3 followed by ribosomal proteins L35 and L20 (infC-rpmI-rplT). A Rho-independent transcription terminator structure that is probably involved in regulation is included at the 3' end. NCBI's taxonomy places the organism in Bacteria, Bacillati, Bacillota, Bacilli, Lactobacillales, Lactobacillaceae. The record is from Rfam.